CAAAAUAAUUUAGGUGAUAUAAACUCAUUUAUAUAAGGAUAUUCCCAAAAUUUUAAAAUUCGAAUUUAAUGAAUGUAUUUCAAUGUUGUCUACAUGCUUGUUCACGUUACAAAGUAGUCAAUGUAAAAAACAUGUUGUUCACGUUAGGCGGUGUCCACGUUAGACGGUGUUCACGUUACCGCGAGUGCACUGUAAUUGUUUCUACGAAGAAGAAAAGUUGCGUACAAAAAUAUUGAAAUUAAACAAAAAUCAAAAAAAUAAGUUAAACAAAAAAUAAAACGAUAAAAACAGUUGAAUAAAAACAAUAAAAAAACUUAAAAAACAAGAAAAGACUUGUGAAAAAAAUUAUAAGAUAAAUAAACUUUGAUUAAUAAAUUUAUAAUGAAUAAAAAGCAUUUUCAAAAGGGAGAUGGGAAAAGGAAGCAUUGGUGAAGCUCAGUUUAUUUGAUAUUUUGAGAGAAGCAAGGAGUAUUCGAGUUCGAAAGACGGUGGAACGCAGCCACCAUAGAAUGCAACAAAAAAAUACUUGAAGAAAUCAAAUUAAAUAGUUUUAUAA
Lucilia cuprina (Australian sheep blowfly) is the source of this 556-nucleotide long non-coding RNA. RefSeq lists it as uncharacterized. The transcript has 2 exons. The record is from RefSeq and is a predicted model, not a curated record. NCBI's taxonomy places the organism in Eukaryota, Metazoa, Arthropoda, Insecta, Diptera, Calliphoridae.